Molecule: ribosomal RNA, 433 nt
Filed under: uncultured bacterium
Lineage: Bacteria
Description: partial 16S ribosomal RNA
Rfam family: Bacterial small subunit ribosomal RNA
Source: RNAcentral
AACGAACGCUGGCGGCAUGCCUAACACAUGCAAGUCGAACGAGACCUUCGGGUCUAGUGGCGCACGGGUGCGUAACGCGUGGGAACCUGCCCUUAGGUUCGGAAUAACUCCCCGAAAGGGGUGCUAAUACCGGAUAAUGUCUUCGGACCAAAGAUUUAUCGCCUUUGGAUGGGCCCGCGUUGGAUUAGCUGUUUGGUAGGGUAAAAGCCUACCAAGGCGACGAUCCAUAGCUGGGCUGAGAGGAUGCUCAGCCACACUGGGAAUGAGACACGGCCCAGAAUCCUACGGGAGGCAGCAGUGGGGAAUAUUGGACAAUGGGCGAAAGCCUGAUCCAGCAAUGCCGCGUGAGUGAUGAAGGCCUUAGGGUUGUAAAGCUCUUUUACCCGGGAUGAUAAUGACAGUACCGGGAGAAUAAGCUCCGGCUAACUCCGUG